This 54-nucleotide ribosomal RNA is filed under the name Russula nympharum. RNAcentral's name for it is "partial 28S ribosomal RNA". The record is from RNAcentral. Lineage: Eukaryota; Fungi; Basidiomycota; Agaricomycetes; Russulales; Russulaceae.
UUGACCUCAAAUCGGGUGAGACUACCCGCUGAACUUAAGCAUAUCAAUAANCCG